UUGAAAGCUUCUAGGGCAGAACAAACUCAUUCCUCAUGAGCAGUUCACCAUGAAAGACGCUGCCUAACUCAGACCACAUAUGGCAAGCCUCAUUCGCCAUCUAUUCCAAAAGCUGCUUUCUGCACAGUCAUACAUCUUAGCAAGAGGAUAAUGAAAAUCCAGCAGCAACAUCCUAGACACAUGUUGUACAAUGAAGACUAACAGAGGACUGGCUACCCCAACCAAGUUUCUGAAGUUCUGCCAGUCAGCAGGUUGGAAUGCCACCAAAACAACCAAGCAGCACAGAAGCAUGUCCAUGCCCUGCAACCUUCUGUAUGUUUAUUCCAGCAAGGAAGCCACUCUGCUUGAAACAGUGAGGAUUGUCCAGAUCAGCUCUGAGCCCCAGGGAUGAUGGAUGCCUUUCACAGGGAGCUGCACAGCUUUUGGAAUUUGGGAAGUCACGGCAAGGGUUGAUCUGGCUCUGGACUGUUAGCAUUGGUCUUCUUCUUUGCUUAUUCCAAAAUUCUUUUGAGGAAUCUGGGCUGGUUGUUGGGUUGUUGGGGUUUGUUUUGUUUUGUUUUUUAGCAAGUAACUGCAACUAGAAAUAGGGAUAUGCCUUAAGUGCUAGAUUAAUGUCAUGAGACAGCCCAUACACAGCUCAUGGUCCCUUAUCAUGCCGGAUCUGAACCUACUGGCUCCACAUGAUUUAUUUCAAGCUUUCAAGUCAGUGAAGUAUUUAAUGAUUUUGUAACUGAAGCUUGUCAUUAGGUUUAUCCCCUCUGUCUGUGUCUGCUCCUUUUUCCUUGAAGGCUGGCCCAUUCUUCCAUCUGGAGGACUGGAAAGUGGCUGUACACAGAGGAUCCACUCUGGGCUGGAGGAGGUUACUGGAGGGCAACAGGCUGAUCCCUCCCUCUCUGAGGGCUGAACAAGGAGCCUCCCUUGGAUGAUGCAGGAUGAUCUUGUUCCCCAGAGCUAACCCUGAUGUUUCCUUGACAGUGUUCCAUUGGUGGGAUAGCAACUGAAGAUGCUCGGUGCCCAUGGGCAGAAUGCCUCUGGCAAGAGAAAACACUGGGCCAUCCACUCCUGGAGGCUGAAGAUGCAAGGGAACCCAAGGGAACCCUGUCCUGUACCUUUUUGUGCUCCUUCUGUGCUCAGCCAAUUGCUCCUUCAUACACUCUUCUCCUCAUCUGCUUACUUGUGACACUGAGAUACAGUUUAUUGGCACGCUGCUUAUACCCAGGAUAAAGCCUUUCUGCUUUUCUGUGGAAUAAAGCUCAGGCUUAGACUGAUUAGAGGUUCUCAGUUUCCUGUUAAACCAAUUUUAAUUAUACAUCUUUUGAAGUCAUGGUCUCUUGGCUGAUGCUAAAAGGGAAUGCAGCAGGUUUUGGAUUUUGAAUCACAGCUAAUGACUUUUCAGUAGUUUCAGAACAACAAGGUGCCAGUGCCACCUCUUGUUAGUAAAAUCUGAUAGCAGCAAACUGGUCACUAAUAGUUCAGGAGUAGCCUUUCUCUGUUCCACUGCUAUCAUGUGGAGUCUUGGUUCCAAACUUGGCUUAGAAGUGUUUACACCUUCAGUAUGUUUGCAACAUUGACAAAUUUUGAAUGAUUGUGCAACGCUGUUUAUGAUGGAAUAUGUCACUGGGGUGAGCUGGCUUUCCCAUGAACAAGCAUACAAGUUAUCUGCAUGAGUCUUGAAUUGCAGCAUUUCUGCUCUAAGCACCAGUACAGAACCCAAGGAUCUGAUCAUCUGAUUCUUUCUUGAGACACACAAUAUGGUAGAAAAAAGAAAAAAGAAAGGUCUUUUUUCUUGCUGUUAUAAAUUGUCAGGGAGUGCAUGUACUGCAAGGAACAAGAAUAUCAAAUUUCAAUUACUGUUCAUUUCUACAAAAGUCAAGCCCAAACUCACAGACUGAGUCUGGGACCCUUUUGCUAAGUACUGCUCAAAAUAUGUCAAGAGAAACUACAGCAUGAAUGAAUGACUCAGAAACAGUGAGAAACAAAACUGAAGUAGAAGGAGGGAAAAAAAACUUGAAUAGCAUGACAGAGCUGGUGAUAGAGCUUGGUCAGGAAAAACCAAAUUCUGAACCCACAUCUCCUGAGAAGUUAAUCACACAUUUACUUUACCACACUGCCCACUUCCUUUCUGUAUUGAAAAAGAUGCAUAUAUCCUGAACUUAUAGCAAAGUUGCUACAAGUUUUGGUUAAGAUUUUUCUUUUGUACAUUAGCAGCAUUUGUUCCGUGAACUGCAAGAUGGGCUGCUCUGUGCUUCUCCACCAUGGAACUGCUAAAUUCCUGACUUCUGCACAAGUGGGAUGAAGCAGCCUGUCCCAUCUGCACUUUGGGAGAAACUUAGAAUUCUCUGUGUUCACACCCUCCCCUGCAUACACAUACUCCACCCGGGAAAAUUAAGGUGCACUUGGAGCAUGUGCAAAAAUAUCUCUGCUAGCUUAAUCUAA
This is a long non-coding RNA of Calypte anna (Anna's hummingbird), 2436 nucleotides long. RefSeq lists it as uncharacterized. The transcript has 2 exons. Lineage: Eukaryota; Metazoa; Chordata; Aves; Apodiformes; Trochilidae. The record is from RefSeq and is a predicted model, not a curated record.